RNA transcript from Erpetoichthys calabaricus (reedfish), 2832 nucleotides. RefSeq lists it as uncharacterized. The record is from RefSeq and is a predicted model, not a curated record. NCBI's taxonomy places the organism in Eukaryota, Metazoa, Chordata, Cladistia, Polypteriformes, Polypteridae. The transcript has 7 exons.
CUUUAUCAAGCUAGCUAACUGUCUGACGUGUAUAGUACCUUCAUAUCUCAAGCUAGCUAUCUAGCUGUCCUAUAUUUUGCUUCUCCUAUUUCUACUUUUCCAUCUCAGGGUUAGGCCCCAUCAGGACAUAGCGAGCAGCAGGUGCCUUGGGGGUUUGGGCUUUACAUAUGGCUCUCUCCGCGCGGAUUCUGCGUCUAUGUGGAGUUCGCAUGUCCUCCGUGUGGCCGCUUGGGUUUACCAACAGAUGUUGCUGCUGAGCUACUAGACGAAUCUGUCUAGCCCUGUGUGUGAAGGAAACCCAUCCGUCCAUUUGGAAAUCCUUUAAAAAAGCGACGCCGAGUCCAUAAAGUUGGCGGCGUUCUGUUUAAUGCUGUAGCUUCAGGAAUGUCCGACCAAUGAGCCACACUGGGGGAUCCUCGCGUGAGGUAGGUGACGGCUCAGGGCCCGUAACGGGUUAAAUUGCUCUCGUUUGCCCGCCGGCAUAACCUUUAAGCCGUCGAAGAGCGGGAUGCCAGUCAUUCAGAAGGGGAUUGGGGUGGCACAGAAAAUGUAUCUGCUGUUCCGCUGCUUCAGUCUUUAUUUGUACGCGCUGUUGACGACACCUUCGGUCGACGAGCCCUUCAUAGCGCAGACCUCCAUUGUGCAGGACCUUUUAAUUUCGUCGGGGGUCCUGGCCUCGCUGGUUGUCGUGCCCACUGGCAUUCUUUGCAUUAAUAUUUUGAGGAGGGCGGUGAGUCAAUACACAUGCGUCGUCUUACGCCUCAACCAUGUGAGCUCCAAGAAAUGCCGCAUGAAACUGGCAUUGGAGGCUAAAGAGGAGGCGCUCAAAGAAAAAAUGGCAGAGGUCCUGUACUUUAAGGAGAAGCUGGAACGGACUAAGCAAGAGAAAAUGGCACUUGUGGCAAGUCUGGAGUCAUCGCGCUCCUACAUUAAAGAGAUGAAUCGGAGUUCCGAAAAACAAGUGGACCUCUGUGGAGGAGGCGACGGCAAAGGCGUACACAAGGACACGUCACACGUUGUAAGUGGGAAGACUAAAGCCCUGACUGAAGUCUCAAAGACUGGAUUUAAAGAGCGCGAAAGCCCAAUCGAGCCUCCCCCCGAAAAGGUGGAGGGGGUCAUGUUGUCCAGCGGGAGUUUCCUGAAUCGACUGAAGCGGCGCCUGAAUGGCGUCCAGGAGAAGGGCAAAAAGUCUCCCCUCCAUAAGCAGGACGAGCAGAUUAACUUGAAAAACAAAUCAAUCAAGAUGAUUGCUUAUAACGCGGAGACAAAGACAAGCAUGUCCGCAAACAGCAGCUUUUUCAAGAGCCUACUGAGCUGUCUGAGUGGCAACUACACCACAGACUCAAAGAACGUCUACAAAGGGAAGGCGCCGCUCAAGAGACGGAAGACAAAAGUUGUUCUCCGAAACAAGUCUCACGCCAUCCUGCACACCCCCUCUCCCAUAAAAGUGGAAGCGAAGAGCCCUCUGGCCAUGGAGGGUCGCCGCCCAGAAUCUGCCAAUUCAUCCAGCAGCAAGGAGCUCACCUAUCCCAUCCAUACAGAUGAUGGGGGAUGCCUCCUCACCGAAGGCCAGCAACAAGAAGAAAUGGAGUCUUCACUUUUCACCUCUGCAGAGAGGUGUGAGCCUCUGGUCGCCGCCUAAUGGCAGUCGAGUAACUCCAGCGAAGACCUCUAAACUCCCAUCUUCUCCAUGCAGUUCCAACAGUCACUUCAGCCCAGCUUCUAAAGAACGGCUUACUCUCGUCCUUGGCAUUUUAGUCGCCAAUGCUCAGGUGCCGUUUUUAAUAUUUCAGUUUAACAUUCGUGGAUAUUUUAGCCAGCUGGACAAAGUGGAUAGUAAAGGAGAAGAUGACUGGACGUGUUCUGUACAAGUCACACCAUUUUGGGCGAGCGUCUGCUCAUGGAGCAUCGGACCAGCAGGAUACCAAACACAAGCCAGGGGCCGUGGCACAUCGUCACCCCCUUGUGUUUAAAUCCUUUAGUUUCUUCACUUUCUAGGUGUUGGAUCCGAGAUCCCCUUUGAAGAGGAGUACUCCCCUACCUCCCCUCUGCCCACUGGAUUCUUGCUUCAGUGUUUCUGCAUGUUACAAACUAAAUUGGCAUAGGGAGGGGAACAGUUGUAAAGAGAAUAAGCAGUUUUUAAAUAUAUUUGUUUAGAGUUAAAAUUACGGAUUACUUAAAAUGGCAGAUUAUUGCUAAUGGCUAACAGCUGUAGUCAAUGUGGACUCCAUCAGUUCUAACUUAUUAAAAAUAAGAUAUCACAAAACCAAAUUCUGACUAUUCAAAAUUAUACUUUAAAAAUGUAAAAAUUAAACUCCUGUCCGAAUGUGAAUGACUAACAUCACCUUUGAAUAAAAUUGGUAAAGCCCCUGUCAAGUGAUAUCACACAGGCUGGUGUAACCCACAGCAACAGCAGGAGAAGGGAAAGUGGGCGCCUGCUAGUAAUAAGGGGGGAGUUAAGUUGACUUGAGGGGUCAGGAACUUCUAUUCGAACCUGCUGAACCAAAAUGAUAGUUUUUGCUGUUAAAUAAAACGGAGUCACUUCUUCUACAUCUCUGCAUUAUUAUUAAGUAUGCAUUCACAGGUGGCCAUAGAUUUUUGCAUAAAUGCCAGGCCUUUUCAGGGCGCGCACACACACACACAUACCAGUUAACGCAGACAGGUCUUUGAGUCAAUGCAGACAAUCUGAGGCGGUGGGUGGAGAAGACAUGCAAAAUUGAAUGGCACAGCUUGGUUGUGAACUUGGAUCGGCAAGGCAGCAGUCCAAACCACCAGCGCUUUAUUAACUUGCACGGGGCAGUUGAUGUGCUGAUGCAGGCCAGGUUGGCUCAG